CGAGUAAGCCAGGCAAUCGCUGCUAAACUUUGUUUAGGAGAGGAAAGUCCGAGCUCCACAGGGCAGGGUGCUGGUUAACGGCCAGUCGAGGUGACUCGAAGGAAAGUGCAACAGAGAUAUACCGCCUAAGUUUUUACCAGAGCUUAUGGCAAGGGUGGAAAGGUGAGGUAAGAGCUCACCAGCAUAUAGGUGACUAUAUGGCUAUGUAAACCCCACUUGGAGCAAGACCGAAUAGAGAAGCAUUAUGGGGUAGCCCGUCCCGCUUCCGGGUGCGUCGCUUGAACAUGCUGGUAACAGUAUGUCUAGAUAGAUGAUUGCUUAAUACAGAACUCGGCUUAUAGACUUAUCUCGUUAA
RNAcentral lists this RNase P RNA (355 nucleotides) under Inconstantimicrobium porci. RNAcentral describes it as "RNase P RNA component class A". It matches the Rfam family "Bacterial RNase P class A". From Rfam's summary of the family: Ribonuclease P (RNase P) is a ubiquitous endoribonuclease, found in archaea, bacteria and eukarya as well as chloroplasts and mitochondria. Its best characterised activity is the generation of mature 5'-ends of tRNAs by cleaving the 5'-leader elements of precursor-tRNAs. Lineage: Bacteria; Bacillati; Bacillota; Clostridia; Eubacteriales; Clostridiaceae. The record is from RNAcentral.